CUACUAAGGGCGCGCGGUGGAUGUCUGGGCGUUGAGAGGCGAUGAAGGACGUGGAAAGCUGCGAAAAGCUUCGGGUAGCCGCUAACAGGCUUUAAUCCGGAGAUCUCCGAAUCGGGAAACCGGGCAGGUUCGCCUGCCAGCCUCUAGCUGAAUACAUAAGCUUGAGGUGGCCAACCCGGGGAACUGAAACAUCUAAGUACCCGGAGGAAUAGACAUCAAAGACGAGAUUCCCUCAGUAGUGGCGAGCGAACGGGGAACAGCCUAAACCUUAUCAGUGUAAGCCUGGGGGCGUUGCUGGUGAGGUGUCGUGGGACGUUCGAGCAGGCCCCAGUACUGCAAAGGAGUUACAAAACUAAAGGCUAACUAAACGGUUUGGAAAGGCCGGCCAGAGAGGGUGACAGCCCCGUACGUGAAAGCUUUUGGUCUCCUCGAGAUGUUCCCGAGUACCGCAGGGCACGUGAAACCCGGCGGGAAUCUGGGAGGACCAUCUUCCAAGGCUAAAUACUACUCAACGACCGAUAGUGAACGAGUACCGUGAGGGAAAGAUGAAAAGUACCCCGGUGAGGGGAGUGAAAUAGUACCUGAAACCGCGCGUCUACAAGCAGUCGGAGCACUAUGCCCUUUUUGGGAAUGUGCGACGGCGUACCUUUUGCAUAAUGGGCCUGCGAGUUACGGUAUGUCGCAAGGUUAAGCCGUUAGGUGUAGCCGAAGGGAAACCGAGUUCUCACAGAGCGACAAAGUGGCAUGCCGUAGACCCGAAACCGAGCGAUCUACCCUUGGCCAGGUUGAAGCGCGGGUAAAACCGCGUGGAGGACCGAACCCACUGGAGUUGAAAAUCCAGGGGAUGAGCUGAGGGUCGGAGUGAAAGGCUAAUCAAGCUCGGAGAUAGCUGGUUCUUCGCGAAAUAUAUUUAGGUAUAGCCUCAGGCGAAUUCCAUCGGAGGUAGAGCACUGAAUGGGCUAGGGGUCCCACCAGAUUACCAAACCCAAUCAAACUCCGAAUGCCGAUGAGAAAUACCUGGGAGUCAGGCUGCGGGUGAUAAGGUCCGUAGCCAAGAGGGAAAGAGCCCAGAUCGACAGCUAAGGUCCCCAAGUUCAUGCUAAGUGUGAAAGGAUGUGGAAACGCAUUGACAGCCAGGAGGUUGGCUUAGAAGCAGCCACCCUUUAAAGAAAGCGUAAUAGCUCACUGGUCGAGCGAGUCUGCGCCGAAAAUAUAACGGGGCUAAGCAUGACACCGAAGCUUCGGGCUUUCGUAAGAGAGCGGUAGCGAAGUAUUCCCAAGCAGAUACAAGGUGUACCGAAAGGAGCGCUGUCGGGCUUGGGAAGAGCUUAUGCAGGCAUGAGUAGCGAUAAACAGGAUGAGAAAUCCUGUCGCCGUAAGCCCAAGGUUUCCUGGGGAAGGAUCAUCCUCCCAUGGGUUAGUCGGUUCCUAAGCUGAGGCCGAGAGGCGUAGGCGAUGGAAAGCAGGUUAAUAUUCCUGCACCACAAGGAUGGUAUUGAAGCAAGCAGGGACGAAGAAGGGUAGGCCGAGCCAGGUGUUUGGUUUCUGGUUCAAGCCUGUAGGCGGAUCUCGUAGGACCCAGUAGGGACAAACGCGAGGUCAACGCCGAGAGGUGAUGAGGCUGGACUUAGGUCCAGAAACUCGGUGAUCCCAUGCUUCCGAGAAAAGCUGCGUGUGGAGCCUCUUUGUGACCGUACCGCAAACCAACUCAGGUGGGCGGGGUGAGUAUCCCAAGGCGCGUGAGAGAACACUGGCUAAGGAACUCGGCAAAAUUGCACCGUAACUUCGGGAGAAGGUGCACCCGCUAGGGUGAUAGGGCUUGCCCCUGGAGCUCCGGCGGGUCGCAGUGAAAAGGGGGUUGCGACUGUUUACUAAAAACAUAGGACUCUGCGAAAUCGUAAGAUGANGUAUAGGGNCUGACGCCUGCCCGGUGCUGGAAGGUUAAGUGAGGGGGUUAGCGUAAGCGAAGCUCUUGAUCGAAGCCCCAGUAAACGGCGGCCGUAACAAUAACGGUCCUAAGGUAGCGAAAUUCCUUGUCGGGUAAGUUCCGACCUGCAUGAAUGGCGUAACGACUCCGCACUGUCUCGACCCGCGACCCAGCGAAAUUGACAUAGGGGUGAAGAUGCCCCUUACCCGCAGCAAGACGGAAAGACCCUGUGAACCUUUACUCUAGCUUGACAGUGAUAUUCGAUUUAGUUUGUGUAGGAUAGGUGGGAGACUUUGACCUUGGGGCGCCAGCCUCAAGUGAGUCAUUGGUGAAAUACC
This 2265-nucleotide ribosomal RNA is filed under the name metagenome. RNAcentral describes it as "bacterial LSU rRNA". It matches the Rfam family "Bacterial large subunit ribosomal RNA", at positions 1 to 2201 of the family's 2925-position model. The record is from RNAcentral.